RNAcentral lists this ribosomal RNA (253 nucleotides) under uncultured bacterium. RNAcentral's name for it is "partial 16S ribosomal RNA". It matches the Rfam family "Bacterial small subunit ribosomal RNA", at positions 524 to 776 of the family's 1533-position model. The record is from RNAcentral.
UACGUAGGUGGCAAGCGUUGUCCGGAUUUAUUGGGUUUAAAGGGUGCGUAGGCAGUUUCCUAAGUCAGUUGUGAAAUACGGCAGCUUAACUGUCGAGGUGCAAUUGAUACUGGGAAACUUGAGUACUGAUGAGGUAUGCGGAAUGGACGGUGUAGCGGUGAAAUGCUUAGAUAUCGUCCAGAACACCGAUAGCGAAGGCAGCAUACUAAGGAGUAACUGACGCUGAGGCACGAAAGUGUGGGGAUCAAACAGG